Molecule: ribosomal RNA, 648 nt
Filed under: uncultured Lachnospiraceae bacterium
Lineage: Bacteria; Bacillati; Bacillota; Clostridia; Lachnospirales; Lachnospiraceae
Description: bacterial SSU rRNA
Rfam family: Bacterial small subunit ribosomal RNA
Source: RNAcentral
AUUGAAGCUUCGGCAGAUUUAGCUGGUUUCUAGUGGCGGACGGGUGAGUAACGCGUGGGUAACCUGCCCUAUACAGGGGGAUAACAACCAGAAAUGGUUGCUAAUACCGCAUAAGCGCACAGGACCGCAUGGUCCGGUGUGAAAAACUCCGGUGGUAUAGGAUGGACCCGCGUUGGAUUAGCCAGUUGGCAGGGUAACGGCCUACCAAAGCGACGAUCCAUAGCCGGCCUGAGAGGGUGAACGGCCACAUUGGGACUGAGACACGGCCCAGACUCCUACGGGAGGCAGCAGUGGGGAAUAUUGCACAAUGGGGGAAACCCUGGUGCAGCGACGCCGCGUGAAGGAAGAAGUAUCUCGGUAUGUAAACUUCUAUCAGCAGGGAAGAUAGUGACGGUACCUGACUAAGAAGCCCCGGCUAACUACGUGCCAGCAGCCGCGGUAAUACGUAGGGGGCAAGCGUUAUCCGGAUUUACUGGGUGUAAAGGGAGCGUAGACGGAUUAGCAAGUCUGAUGUGAAAGGCAGGGGCUCAACCCCUGGACUGCAUUGGAAACUGCCAGUCUUGAGUGCCGGAGAGGUAAGCGGAAUUCCUAGUGUAGCGGUGAAAUGCGUAGAUAUUAGGAGGAACACCAGUGGCGAAGGCGGCUUAC